UGUUUGCGUGAGGGAUAGUAGUGGAAAUCCUUUAACACAACCCUCUUUUUGGGUUGUGUUAAAGAUUGGAACGGAUAGCCCGACGGCGC
RNAcentral lists this small RNA (89 nucleotides) under Flavobacterium caeni. Its description in RNAcentral is "Flavo-1 RNA". It matches the Rfam family "Flavo-1 RNA". Lineage: Bacteria; Pseudomonadati; Bacteroidota; Flavobacteriia; Flavobacteriales; Flavobacteriaceae. The record is from Rfam by way of RNAcentral.